This 354-nucleotide long non-coding RNA is filed under the name Lathyrus oleraceus (garden pea). Its description in RNAcentral is "Pisum sativum (pea) long non-coding RNA (PSAT_LNC022467)". Lineage: Eukaryota; Viridiplantae; Streptophyta; Magnoliopsida; Fabales; Fabaceae. The record is from RNAcentral.
UGAUGCGAUGCUAGAAGUAAAAUAGAUGAUAUUACUAGGGUAUCAUCCCACAAAUGCAUACAAGUAGUACAAUCCAAGAACUAAAUUGUAGAAAAACAUUAACAUAAAACAGCAUACAAGUAGUACAAUCCAAGAACUAAAUUGUAGAAAAACAUUAGAGGAAAUAAAUUGUUCAUUUUAAACAUAAAACAGCAUACAAGUAGUACAAUCCAAGAACUAAAUUGUAGAAAAACAUUAGAGGAAAUAAAACAGCAGAGAUCCAAUACAAGAAGAAGACAUGAUCCAUGAACUUGUGUGACUUUCAUGACUUUAACCAAACCAAUUAGAGGUUAACAAUGGUGGGCUUAAAGUCAA